This 175-nucleotide small RNA is filed under the name Phascolarctos cinereus (koala). RNAcentral's name for it is "TUC338 (ENSPCIG00000013827.2)". The record is from RNAcentral. Lineage: Eukaryota; Metazoa; Chordata; Mammalia; Diprotodontia; Phascolarctidae.
UUGAAAAUAGCAGAGACUGAAGUCUGGUAUUUAUCCACAAACCAAGGAGCUGGCAAAAGUGAAAUGUUGGCUUCACUGUCCUGUUCCACCUGUUUACCUCAACCCUGACUUGGAAACUGAACCUUCUGAUGGUGUCAGAGUUUAUUUCAGUAAAUCAGCUCAUACAGUCCCCACA